Molecule: long non-coding RNA, 3053 nt
Filed under: Limulus polyphemus (Atlantic horseshoe crab)
Lineage: Eukaryota; Metazoa; Arthropoda; Merostomata; Xiphosura; Limulidae
Description: uncharacterized LOC111087398
Source: RNAcentral
UAUUUUUCCACGAUUAUUUUGAAUAUGUUUUUGAUUGUCUCUACUACUUUGUUUAUGAAUUCCUGUGUUUUAGGAGGUGUAACUAUAGGUGUCUUCAUUUGUUCUGUUGUUUCUUUAGUUUGUGUGUUGAUUUUAUCUUCUUGUGCUUGUGUAGUUGUUUCCGUUCGGGUGUGGGUUUUUAAUGCUUGUGCGAAUGUCUGUUUGUUUGUAUUGCCAUUUUGUUGAGGGUUUUGUGUAGGUAGCAAUGGUGUUUUUCUUUGUGUACUGUGUAGUUCAUAAUUUUGAGCUUGUGUGUGUGUGUUGUUUUGUAUAUUGUUUAUUCUUGUUUUAAUAAUUUUAUAUUUCUGGCAUCCUUUGUAGUUUGCCGUGUGUUGUUGUUGGCAGUUGCAACAGUAUAGUUGUGGGUUACUACGCGGGCAUUCAUUGUUUCUGUGGUCUCCCCCACACCCUACGCAGCGUGGGAGAGCUUUACAUGCGGCUGUCACACGUCCAUACCGUUGGCAUUUGUAACACUGGGUUACCACUACCGCAGGUAUUUUGGUUGGUUCUACCGUGUAUUUUCUGUACCACAAUAUAAUCCCGUUUGAUAUUAGGUUCUGUGUGUCUUGUGUUUCUCGCACUUGAACUUUUAUCAGGUUUGUGUGUUUCUGUGUUUUAUUUGAGAAAAUCCGUUAUAUUUUUGUUACUAAAAUGUUUUUCUGUGUGAGUUCUGUUUGGAUUUCUUCGUUAGUAAUGCUAGUGUGUAUGUCCUUAAUGACGAAAGACUUAGGGUUGGGCUUGUUUCCUGGUAAGUGUAUUGUUAUCUUGCCGGGUUCAAACGCAUGUUGGGGCCAUGUUUUUAGUAGUCGGUUCAGGUCAGCGGCCUCUGAUCCUUUGACCAGGACGCCGACCUUGGCUAGACGUUUUAUUGUUGUAAUGUGUACUUCCGGCUUACAUCGCUUGAUUUCAGCCGUAAGUUAUGGUUCCCGGUACUGUGCUGGGAUACCUUGGAUUAUAAUUGCGUUUUGUGGUGUGUUUUUGUGUGUUGCAUUUGUAUGAUUGUUUGUGUUUUGUGCUGUUUGUUUUCUUCGAUUUUACUAGUAUGAAAUAGUUUUGAUCUUCUGGUGUUUCUUGUGUUUGUUUGAGAUUAUCUUCGUGUACUUCUUUUUGUGUCCCUUGUUGGUCGUGUGAGUUUCCACGUGCUUCUUUGUGUUUAGAUUGUGUAGGUGUGUUGUUGUAUUCUUCUUUGUGUUUAGUUUGUGCAGGUAUGUUGUUGUAUUCUUCUUCGUGUUUAGUUUGUGCAGGUAUGUUGUUGUAUUCUUCUUUGUGUUUAGUUUGUGCAGGUAUGUUGUUGUAUUCUUCUUCGUGUUUAGUUUGUGUAGGUGUGUUGUUGUAUUCUAGUAUUGAUUUUCCUGAGUGUUCUUCUUGUGGUUCUGUAGUGUCGUUAGUUUCCAUUGAAGUGUUUUUUGUGUAAGUGUGUUGUUGUAUUCUUCUUCGUGUUUAGUUUGUGUAGGUGUGUUGUUGUAUUCUAGUAUUGAUUUUCCCGAGUGUUCUUCAUGUGGUUCUGUAGUGUCGUUAGUUUCCAUUGAAGUGUUUGUUUGUGUGUCAUUUUUUUUUAGCCUAACUGCUUUCUUUGUUUUACGUGAAGCUAACCUUGCCAUUCUUUCGUUGUAUUCUUGUUUUGCUAAUGUUACCAGUUGUUCGAGUUCUGGACUGUAAGAGGCUAAUAUGUCUAUAGUCAAACCAGCUUUACCUGAAGCAGUGCUCCCGCUCGGCGUUGACAUUUAGUUCUGUAUGGAGUCAAACUCAAAUCGUCUAUCGAAUAGAUUAGGCUAAAAGUAAUUGUUAAUGUUCUUUACCAAAAACAAAAAAAAUAAUACUACAAACCAGUUUCUCUAAAACUCUUCAAUAGAAACAUAAACGUAAUUCUAGCAGUAAUAAUGUCUGCUGGAAAUAUACAUUUAAAUUUACUAAUAAAUGAUCAAAACAGAAAAUUGUAUAUGAUUUAUUUAUUUAGAAUAUAAUUUGUUUUUCAUAAUCUAUAGAAAUAUCCUUUAGCCAAAAAAAUACAAUAUUAAACAUAAAGGUCACUGCAUUAAAUCGAAAAAAAAUUACUGAUUUUAAAGUACUAAACUUUGAAAUUAUUGUAUUUGAUAACAUUAUAUUCAGGGGUAUAAGAAUUAUGAUUGUACGUUCGAUGUUUUAAUAAGAAGUAUAUUGCUAACAAAUAGUGGAUGAAAUAAAUUCAUUUUAUUUUAUUCGUCUAUAUCCUUUUCAUAUUCUGCUUCAGCGUUUUAACACCUCAAUUGUUUUUUUUUUUUAUCUAAAAUAAUCUAUAAUGAAUAAAAUAUUAUAACCUACUUUUUUGCACCUAAGGCAAUCGUGUUUUCAAGAUUUUUAAUUCUUAUGAAUGAUUCAUUUCAGUUUAAACGAACAAUAUAGAUAUUGGUACAUUUUGAUAUAUUCGCGUUUUCUCAAAUUUAACAGAAUGUGUUGGGUAUUAAUUUAAACUUAUGAACUUUUUGUAAAUAAUCUUAAUCAAGAAUCUUGUCAGUAGAUAUGUUAUCAACUUAUAAUUUUUUAUGUAUGCAUUUGUGGUGUCAUAGUGAAGGAAUAUACUUUGUCUUUCCAAAAUAGUUCAAAUGUGUAGGCCAUAAGAAUUAUAAUCAUUAAUUCCAAAUGACAAAAUAUUAUAGAGUACUACUCUUCAAGAUAACACACUUAAGAUUUUUCACCUUUGUAAGCCAAGUUACUUUUUCGUUUAAGGUCUUUGCUUUUGUAUGUGUGUGUGCAGAGCUUAAAUGUAUAUUGGUCUUAAUAACACUGCUGUCAAGUUUUGUUCACCAUUUCAACCUUCAGUUUUUCUUGAUAGAUCAUAAUGGGUAAAAUUAAUAUGCCACUUGUUAUGAUUUCUUAACAUCAGUUUGUAUUUAUACAAAUGCUGUAUUUAUUUUUAAUUCGUAAUAUGAAUAGUUUACUUCCUUCGAAUGAACUGUUUGCUUGCUGCUUGAUAUAUAAGUGUCUAUAAAUCAAGUGUAUAAUAUUUGUUAAAUAAACAUUCUACUGUCACACCA